Molecule: long non-coding RNA, 1599 nt
Filed under: Dermacentor andersoni
Lineage: Eukaryota; Metazoa; Arthropoda; Arachnida; Ixodida; Ixodidae
Description: uncharacterized LOC126538496
Source: RNAcentral
CGUACAUAGACAGAAGUGCCGACUGUCAACUGAGAUGUUAUUAUUCAAUGUGCCGAAUUUACACAAGCAAGUGAAAGAGCUAUCUGAAAAACAUUAACUUCUGAAGAUAGAACAAGAAAAGCAGACGAGUGGGCAAAAAAUGAACUACGCUGGAAAUUGAGAUACAAAAAAAAUAUGAUUGCAUCACAAAUACAGGCCGUCCACGUGACUUCCAGAAAAACUUUAGCUCUUUUUCUGAUAGGGCAGUCAGAAAGGUAUCUGCAACGUCAAGCGCAAGAUGUGGCAUGUUGACUCCACAUAAAAGGUUGUGUACGAAAUUUCUCUUUCAUGCGGCGCUUGUCAUGGGGCAGACUGCCAGAUGCCUUCAUGAGAGGUUGUGCGAACAUGCAUAUAAUGUGCGCAAUGACAGAGAAAGUUUUUUUGGCACAUCAUACUAGCAUGCGUGGCUGCACUCCUUUGUUUGAAAGAAUGUCAGUUAUUCACAAGCACAGGGAUGGUCUUACCCAUAUCAUACUUGAAGUAGCACAAUUGGCAUGGGAGCAGAGUGCAUGCAUCAGCAAGCCAUCCAUUGCCUUAUCAGAAAGAGAGCUCAAGUUUCUGGGAAGUCAAACCUACAGCGAGCAUUUUUUACGCAACUCUACAUUUCUUCGUGUGCCUCUUGAUGGUCUGCUUUGUUCUCCUUUUUAGUAGUUAUUUUUCAGAUAGCUGUAUCACUAUUGUGUGUAUUCAGCAAUAAAACCUCCAUUGGUAGUCAGUGCUUGUGUUUACGUCCUCGUUUAACCUUUGCACUGUACACUCACGAUAAUGGAUCAACAACUAGCUUAAUAAGCUGCCCUUGUAAAUUCUUAUAGGAGAUGCUCCUUGAAGUUUGUAUUCAUGGCUAAUUUUCCCUUGUGUGCAUGUUUUAGUAAUAAGCUAAUUUGAAAUAUUAAUUAAAACCUUUUAUAACAUCUUGUUUGGUGAAAGUAUUUUAAGAGCUUGUGAACUCUGGUCAUGAUUAUCUGUUUAUCUUGGCUAUUGCAGGACAAAAGGAUUAAAUGUUACCCCUGUCCUGUGUCAAAUCCAUCUGAUCAAUUCUCUAACCUCGGUCUUGUCACGCACCUAAUGCUUUCAUGGUGCAGUUUGCUUAAAUUCUCCCAUCUGAUGACUCACGGUUCAACUGUUUGAUAUUAUUUCAUGGAAAUGGUUGCGCUUCAGUGCUGUUGCAUAUUGUUUCUUGUGUAUUGUUUGAUGUCGAAGGUUGAUGCAUGCUUUUUUAAACAUCAGGUACCCAAAUAAAUUGUGCAAUGUUGCUGCAAGGAGCCUCGUAAACCAGUACCCAGCACUGAGGGACACAUUGCACCUUGGCCAUUUCUCAUGGUAUAUGUGCCUAAGAAACAAGUACAAAAACAUGCAAAAGUGAAUGCCACCAGGAUGCCCUGAAGUCGAUGCAGAAGUGAAAGCAAGAAAGGCAAGCGAAAUUGUGACACCUGCUCAAAAUCUGGAUUUUGAAGACGGGUGAUCAGCUGCAAGUUUGCAUGCAUAUUUCACUAGAUAAACUGACUCUCCUUUCUUUGUUAUGUGGCUUAGUUGAAACAUUUAGUUGCUUCUCUUGAUGUA